Molecule: ribosomal RNA, 343 nt
Filed under: uncultured Spirochaeta sp.
Lineage: Bacteria; Pseudomonadati; Spirochaetota; Spirochaetia; Spirochaetales; Spirochaetaceae
Description: bacterial SSU rRNA
Rfam family: Bacterial small subunit ribosomal RNA
Source: RNAcentral
UGCUGCAUGGCUGUCGUCAGCUCGUGCUGUGAAGUGUUGGGUUAAGUCCCGCAACGAGCGCAACCCCUGCUAUCUGUUGCCAGCAAGUAAUGUUGGGGACUCAGAUGGAACUGCCGGUGACAAACCGGAGGAAGUGGGGACGACGUCAAGUCAUCAUGGCCCUUAUGUCCUGGGCUACACACGUGCUACAAUGGCCGGUACAGAGCGCAGCGAAGCCGCGAGGCAAAGCGAAUCGCAAAAAGCCGGUCUCAGUACGGAUUGGAGUCUGAAACCCGACUCCAUGAAGUUGGAAUCGCUAGUAAUCGCGCAUCAGCAUGGCGCGGUGAAUACGUUCCCGGGCCUU